CGGACGGGUGAGUAAUACCUAGGAAUCUGCCUGAUAGUGGGGGAUAACGUUCGGAAACGGACGCUAAUACCGCAUACGUCCUACGGGAGAAAGCAGGGGACCUUCGGGCCUUGCGCUAUCAGAUGAGCCUAGGUCGGAUUAGCUAGUUGGUGAGGUAAUGGCUCACCAAGGCUACGAUCCGUAACUGGUCUGAGAGGAUGAUCAGUCACACUGGAACUGAGACACGGUCCAG
This 232-nucleotide ribosomal RNA is filed under the name uncultured Pseudomonadales bacterium. RNAcentral's name for it is "partial 16S ribosomal RNA". It matches the Rfam family "Bacterial small subunit ribosomal RNA", at positions 99 to 334 of the family's 1533-position model. Lineage: Bacteria; Pseudomonadati; Pseudomonadota; Gammaproteobacteria; Pseudomonadales. The record is from RNAcentral.